AUUGAACGCUGGCGGCAUGCUUUACACAUGCAAGUCGAACGGCAGCGCGGGCUUCGGCCUGGCGGCGAGUGGCGAACGGGUGAGUAAUACAUUGGAACGUGCCCAGUAGUGGGGGAUAGCUCGGCGAAAGCCGGAUUAAUACCGCAUACGACCUGAGGGUGAAAGCGGGGGAUCUUCGGACCUCGCGCUAUUGGAGCGGCCGAUGGCAGAUUAGCUAGUUGGUGGGGUAAAGGCCUACCAAGGCGACGAUCUGUAGCUGGUCUGAGAGGACGACCAGCCACACUGGGACUGAGACACGGCCCAGACUCCUACGGGAGGCAGCAGUGGGGAAUUUUGGACAAUGGGCGAAAGCCUGAUCCAGCAAUGCCGCGUGUGUGAUGAAGGCCUUCGGGUUGUAAAGCACUUUUGGCGGGAACGAAAAGGACUGUGCCAAUACCACGGUUCGAUGACGGUACCCGCAGAAUAAGCACCGGCUAACUACGCG
RNAcentral lists this ribosomal RNA (484 nucleotides) under uncultured bacterium. Its description in RNAcentral is "partial 16S ribosomal RNA". It matches the Rfam family "Bacterial small subunit ribosomal RNA", at positions 29 to 507 of the family's 1533-position model. The record is from RNAcentral.